RNAcentral lists this long non-coding RNA (1183 nucleotides) under Eucalyptus grandis. RNAcentral's name for it is "long non-coding RNA (EGRA_LNC007835)". The record is from RNAcentral. Lineage: Eukaryota; Viridiplantae; Streptophyta; Magnoliopsida; Myrtales; Myrtaceae.
UCUAUCAUAGAUGUACCUGAGAAGACUCAUGAGAUAUUUGAAGAACCCGUGCAAAUGUAUCAAUGAGUGACGCAACAAUCUCUCCUCCAAGAAUCUAAGACUUAACAGUUUCAUAUUUAGGGCCUAGACCUCCUAAAAAUCCUAUCACAGCUAAUUGUUCUCUUUGAAGUUGCAUUUGCUGAACAUUAGUUGAAAUUGGGAGAAUAACAUUCGCAAAGUAUUGUGUGAUAGAGCAUCCUUUCCUUUCAGAUCAAUUAAACUUCUGCGAUAACUCAAAUCCGCAAUAGGAUAUUUUGACAAGAAUAUAACACAUCCAAAUACUCCCACAGAUCUUUUAACUAUGUCAAUAUGUGUUACUAAAGCAACUACAUUACUUUCCAUAGAAUUUUAUAUUUGACCAAUAAUACAUGCAUCUAUAAAGUCCCAAGUUUCAUCAUCUCUGGGUUUAGACUUAGUUAAGUGUCUAUGUUGAUUCCUAUCUGUCAAAGCAAGCUUCACAAUUUUCUUCCAUUAUGGAAGUUAGAACUGCCCUCAAGUUUUUUAUCAGUAAUUCUAUUGGAUGAAGAAAUAAUCGUAGUCAUCAUAGAAUGAUUUUUAUCAGAUCAUUCUCUCUUUUAUCCCUCGAAGUAUCACCCAUUCUCCAAGAACCAAGAAGAAAAUUCUCGCAAUAGCUUUCUUUAAAUAACUCGGCCCAAACAAAUCAAUAACGUAACAAAAUUGUUAAUAUAUCACCAAGAAACAGCAGCCCAGAAAUCACAAUCAGCAAACCUCCGCCUAGAAGUCAGCAACCAAAUACUAAUGAUCAACGCUGGAGAUAACUAAAAUCAGCGACCAGCAUCCAUGAGAAUCGCGCCAGGGAACUGAGUGAACAAGAAUCAACGGGAACGGCCCAAAAAUCAAUGACCCAGCAUCUCAAUGACUAAAAAUCAGUGACCCAAACAUCAACACUGGAGGUGACCUAGCAUCCCAAUGACCAAAAUCAGUAAGCAAUGAGCCACAACCAGGGAGCCGUGCGAUCACGAGGCUGAGCGAGCCGCGCGAAUCGCAUAAGGUCACGAGAGGGAAAACUCCCUUGAGGAAAAGUAGCGUGUGAGAAAAGGGACACACGAUGGAGACCUAGCCGUAACGGCAAUUGUUUCAGCAAGUGACCGAUGGUGGCAACGGCGAUUAUUCUGGCGUCUAG